This is a long non-coding RNA of Cygnus olor (mute swan), 479 nucleotides long. RefSeq lists it as uncharacterized. Lineage: Eukaryota; Metazoa; Chordata; Aves; Anseriformes; Anatidae. The transcript has 3 exons. The record is from RefSeq and is a predicted model, not a curated record.
GCAGGAGCCGGGGGAGGGCUCCGGGGGGGCCCCGACACCGCCCCGGUCCCCCCCCGCCGGCCGGCGGCGUGGGGCGCGCACCUGCGUGGGGCCGAAAACAUCGCCCGAAGACACCGGGAUUUGUGCAGAGGUGAAGCUGAACGGUGCAAACUCAGAUAUAUAAUAACUAACUGCCUCUGCCAGUGGGCUCGUCACCACCGGGGCUCAACUUCGCUUCAACUGUCGCUGGAUUGCUCGAGGCGGAGGAAAGAGAAACUGAGGCACUGCGGGUGCAGCUGCGUCCCCAAGGGGAAAAAGCAGAUGCAAGAAACUUGGGAAAACUUUUGAAAUGUGUCCAUGGCCAUGGGUGAUUCCUCUGUCCCUUUGCAGUACGACAAGAAAAUUGGAAGUGACAAGGGUUUAUUGUUGGGACUGCCUUUUCUUUGAUCAUUUUCCUUGCUCUGUCUGCUCACAGCAAAUGAAGUAAAGAGCUGUGAAUG